UCUAAGUGCGGGCCAGCAGCGGGGGUACAACGGAGGGUGCAAGCGUUAAUAGGAAUUACUUGGCGUAAAGCGCACGCAGGCGGUCGGUCAAGUCGGAUGUGAAAUCCCCGGGCUCAACCUGGGAACGGCAUUCGAAACUGGCAGGCUAGAGUCUUGGAGAGGGGGGUAGAAUUCCAGGUGUAGCGGUGAAAUGCGUAGAGAUCUGGAGGAAUACCGGUGGCGAAGGCGGCCCCCUGGACAAAGACUGACGCUCAGGUGCGAAAGCGUGGGGAGCAAACAGGAUUAGAUACCCGUGUAGUC
This 300-nucleotide ribosomal RNA is filed under the name uncultured Prevotella sp. Its description in RNAcentral is "bacterial SSU rRNA". It matches the Rfam family "Bacterial small subunit ribosomal RNA", at positions 496 to 795 of the family's 1533-position model. The record is from RNAcentral. Lineage: Bacteria; Pseudomonadati; Bacteroidota; Bacteroidia; Bacteroidales; Prevotellaceae.